CAGUCGCCGCGGUAAUACGUAGGGUGCGAGCGUUAAUCGGAAUUACUGGGCGUAAAGCGUGCGCAGGCGGUUGUGUAAGACAGGUGUGAAAUCCCCGGGCUUAACCUGGGAACUGCGCUUGUGACUGCACAGCUAGAGUAUGGCAGAGGGGGGUGGAAUUCCACGUGUAGCAGUGAAAUGCGUAGAGAUGUGGAGGAACACCGAUGGCGAAGGCAGCCCCCUGGGCCAAUACCGACGCUCAUGCACGAAAGCGUGGGGAGCAAACAGGAUUAGAUACCCGUGUAGUCCCUGUCUCUUAUAC
Molecule: ribosomal RNA, 301 nt
Filed under: uncultured bacterium
Lineage: Bacteria
Description: partial 16S ribosomal RNA
Rfam family: Bacterial small subunit ribosomal RNA
Source: RNAcentral